Molecule: ribosomal RNA, 465 nt
Filed under: uncultured bacterium
Lineage: Bacteria
Description: partial 16S ribosomal RNA
Rfam family: Bacterial small subunit ribosomal RNA
Source: RNAcentral
ACGCACGCUGGCGGCGUGCUUAACACAUGCAAGUCGAACGGAAAGGCCCUGCUUGCAGGGUCCUCGAGUGGCGAACGGGUGAGUAACACGUGGGUGAUCUGCCCUGCACUUCGGGAUAAGCUUGGGAAACUGGGUCUAAUACCGGAUAGGAACCAUCUUUAGUGUGGUGGUUGGAAAGUUUUUUCGGUGUAGGAUGAGCUCGCGGCCUAUCAGCUUGUUGGUGGGGUAAUGGCCUACCAAGGCGGCGACGGGUAGCCGGCCUGAGAGGGUGUACGGCCACAUUGGGACUGAGAUACGGCCCAGACUCCUACGGGAGGCAGCAGUGGGGAAUAUUGCACAAUGGGCGCAAGCCUGAUGCAGCGACGCCGCGUGGGGGAUGAAGGCCUUCGGGUUGUAAACUCCUUUCGCUAGGGACGAAGCUUUGUUGUGACGGUACCUAGAUAAGAAGCACCGGCUAACUACGUG